Molecule: RNase P RNA, 398 nt
Filed under: Clostridia bacterium
Lineage: Bacteria; Bacillati; Bacillota; Clostridia
Description: RNase P RNA component class A
Rfam family: Bacterial RNase P class A
About the family: Ribonuclease P (RNase P) is a ubiquitous endoribonuclease, found in archaea, bacteria and eukarya as well as chloroplasts and mitochondria. Its best characterised activity is the generation of mature 5'-ends of tRNAs by cleaving the 5'-leader elements of precursor-tRNAs.
Source: RNAcentral
UGAGCAAGCCGAACGGCCGCCACGCACUGGAAUUGACAUUCAGCGAUAAACGAUAUCAUGUAAAGUUUCAAUUCCAGUGCGUGGAGGAAAGUCCGAGCUCCGCAGGGCAGGGCGCCGGGUAAUACCCGGUGGAGGCGACUCCAAGGAAAGUGCAACAGAGAUAUACCGCCUUCCAUACGGUUUCGUAUGGGGGGGAAGGGUGAAAAGGUGAGGCAAGAGCUCACCAGAGCCAUGGCGACUUGGCUGCUAUGUAAACCCCGUCCGGUGCAAGAUUGAUAGAGGGCAUUAAGCGGCUGCCCGCCGCGCCCCGUGUAAUCGCAUGAGCCUGAUGGCAACUUCAGGCCAAAGAUAGAUGGCCGUUCUUAGACAGAACUCGGCUUACAGGCUUGUCUCAAUAA